AGAUUGAACGCUGGCGGCACGCCUAACACAUGCAAGUCGAGCGGUAACAUGUUUAGUAGCAAUACUAGAUGAUGACGAGCGGCGGACGGGUGAGUAAUACGUAGGAAUCCUGCCCUUAAGCGGGGGACAACCAAGGGAAACUUUGGCUAAUACCGCAUAAUCUCUAAGGAGCAAAGCUGCCGCAAGGUGGCGCUUAAGGAGGGGCCUGCGUCCGAUUAGCUAGUUGGUGGGGUAACGGCCUACCAAGGCGACGACGGGUA
RNAcentral lists this ribosomal RNA (260 nucleotides) under uncultured bacterium. RNAcentral's name for it is "partial small subunit ribosomal RNA". It matches the Rfam family "Bacterial small subunit ribosomal RNA", at positions 26 to 285 of the family's 1533-position model. The record is from RNAcentral.